UCGACGGAGAGUUUGAUUCUGGCUCAGAACGAACGCUGGCGGCGUGGAUAAGACAUGCAAGUCGAACGCUGAUUUCAGGGUAGCAAUAUUCUGAAGUCGGAGUGGCGCAAGGGUGCGUAACACGUGGGCAAUCUGCCGCGAAGACUGGGAUAACCCCGAGAAAUCGGGGCUAAUACCGGAUGUGGUGGUCGAGGGGCAUCUCCCGACCUCCAAAGCUGGGGACCGUAAGGCCUGGCGCUUCGCGAUGAGCCCGCGGCCUAUCAGCUAGUUGGCGGGGUAACGGCCCACCAAGGCGAAGACGGGUAGCUGGUCUGAGAGGACGACCAGCCUCACUGGAACUGAGACACGGUCCAGACACCUACGGGUGGCAGCAGUCGAGAAUUUUUCACAAUGGGCGAAAGCCUGAUGGAGCGACGCCGCGUGGGGGAUGAAUGGCUUCGGCCCGUAAACCCCUGUCAUUCGCGAGCAAGGUCCCCGGUUGAACAGACCGGGGGCGUGAUAGUAGCGGAAGAGGAAGGGACGGCUAACUCUGUGCCAGCAGCCGCGGUAAUACAGAGGUCCCAAGCGUUGUUCGGAUUCACUGGGCGUAAAGGGUGCGUAGGCGGUCGGGAAAGUCUGAUGUGAAAUCUCCGGGCCCAACCCGGAAAUGGCAUCGGAUACUCCCCGGCUGGAGGGUUGGAAGGGGGACUGGAAUUCUCGGUGUAGCAGUGAAAUGCGUAGAUAUCGAGAGGAACACCGGUGGCGAAGGCGAGUCCCUGGACAACUCCUGACGCUGAGGCACGAAAGCUAGGGGAGCAAACAGGAUUAGAUACCCUGGUAGUCCUAGCCCUAAACGGUGCACGUUUGCUGUGAGAGGAAUCGACCCCUUUCGUGGCGAAGCUA
Molecule: ribosomal RNA, 882 nt
Filed under: Bryobacteraceae bacterium
Lineage: Bacteria; Pseudomonadati; Acidobacteriota; Terriglobia; Bryobacterales; Bryobacteraceae
Description: bacterial SSU rRNA
Rfam family: Bacterial small subunit ribosomal RNA
Source: RNAcentral